Molecule: transfer RNA, 61 nt
Filed under: Malayopython reticulatus (reticulated python)
Lineage: Eukaryota; Metazoa; Chordata; Lepidosauria; Squamata; Pythonidae
Description: tRNA-Gly
Source: RNAcentral
AUUUCUUUAGUAUAACAGUACAAUUGCCUUCCAAGCAUUUAGUCCCUCACGGGAAGAAAUA